CGACGUAGGUAACCUGCCUGGUAGCGGGGGAUAACUAUUGGAAACGAUAGCUAAUACCGCAUAAGAGUAGAUGUUGCAUGACAUUUACUUAAAAGGUGCAAUUGCAUCACUACCAGAUGGACCUGCGUUGUAUUAGCUAGUUGGUGGGGUAACGGCUCACCAAGGCGACGAUACAUAGCCGACCUGAGAGGGUGAUCGGCCACACUGGGACUGAGACACGGCCCAG
Molecule: ribosomal RNA, 226 nt
Filed under: uncultured bacterium
Lineage: Bacteria
Description: partial 16S ribosomal RNA
Rfam family: Bacterial small subunit ribosomal RNA
Source: RNAcentral